GGCGUGAUAGGAAACUGUGAUGAAGAAAUCAAUUACGGUAAUGGUCGGAGAAGGAAACGACGGUGAAGAAGCGGUGGUGAUGGAAACGGCGGUGAAGAAUCGGUGGUGAAGGGAACGGCGGUGAAGACAGUGAAGGAGAGUGUUUUGUGUUUUUUUUGUAACAAUAGGAAGUGUUUUUGUGUGAGUGUGAGGAUUCUAUUUUCAAUUGUUUUGUUUUUUUUGGAAAAAGAGUGAUUCAAUUUUAACAAGGGGCCAAGAUGAAAUUUUUGGUCAUGGGAACAAAAACACUGCGACUGUUGUAGAAACCGUCACAUAAACAGUUGCAAAUGUCUUUACAAAAUCACAUUGCGACAGUUUUUUUCAAGUUGUCGCAAUGGAAGUGUCGCAAAAUUCUUAUUUUCUUGUAGUGU
This 410-nucleotide long non-coding RNA is filed under the name Trifolium pratense (red clover). RNAcentral describes it as "long non-coding RNA (TPRA_LNC002605)". Lineage: Eukaryota; Viridiplantae; Streptophyta; Magnoliopsida; Fabales; Fabaceae. The record is from RNAcentral.